This 321-nucleotide ribosomal RNA is filed under the name uncultured bacterium. RNAcentral's name for it is "bacterial SSU rRNA". It matches the Rfam family "Bacterial small subunit ribosomal RNA", at positions 28 to 376 of the family's 1533-position model. The record is from RNAcentral.
GACGAACGCUGGCGGCAGGCUUAACACAUGCAAGUCGAACGGGCGUAGCAAUACGUCAGUGGCAGACGGGUGAGUAACACGUGGGAACCUUCCUAGGGGUACGGAACAACUCAGGGAAACUUGAGCUAAUACCGUAUACGUCCGUGAGGAGAAAGAUUUAUCGCCCUUAGACGGGCCCGCGUCGGAUUAGCUAGUUGGUGAGGUAACGGCUCACCAAGGCGACGAUCAGUAGCUGGUCGAGAGGAUGAUCAGCCACAUUGGGACUGAGACACGGCCCAAACUCCUACGGGAGGCAGCAGUGGGGAAUAUUGGACAAUGGGC